UGGGGAAUAUUGGACAAUGGGCGAAAGCCUGAUCCAGCCAUGCCACGUGUGUGAAGAAGGUUUUCGGAUUGUAAAGCACUUUAAGUUGGGAGGAAGGGCAGUUACCUAAUACGUAAUUGUUUUGACGUUACCGACAGAAUAAGCACCGGCUAACUCUGUGCCAGCAGCCGCGGUAAUACAGAGGGUGCAAGCGUUAAUCGGAAUUACUGGCCGUACAGCGCGCGUAGGUGGUUAGUUAAGUUGGAUGUGAAAUCCCCGGGCUCAACCUUGGAACUGCAGUCAAGACUGAAGGACUAGAGUAUGGGAGAGGGUGGUGGAAUUUCCUGUGUAGCGGUGAAAUGCGUAGAGAUAGGACGGAACACCAGUGGCGAAGGCGAACACCUGGACUGAUACUGACACUGAGGUGCGAAAGCGUGGGGAGCAAACA
This 427-nucleotide ribosomal RNA is filed under the name uncultured bacterium. Its description in RNAcentral is "bacterial SSU rRNA". It matches the Rfam family "Bacterial small subunit ribosomal RNA", at positions 355 to 774 of the family's 1533-position model. The record is from RNAcentral.